GUGUUCACUUCAGCAUCACAUAUACUAAAAUUAGGAUGAUACAGAGAAGAUUAGCGUCAUUCUUGUGUAAGGAUGACAUGCAAAGUCAUGAAGCAGACCGUAUUUUU
Molecule: small nuclear RNA, 107 nt
Organism: Sorex araneus (European shrew)
Lineage: Eukaryota; Metazoa; Chordata; Mammalia; Eulipotyphla; Soricidae
Source: RefSeq, a predicted model, not a curated record